Molecule: non-coding RNA, 98 nt
Organism: Clostridium sp. CAG:451
Lineage: Bacteria; Bacillati; Bacillota; Clostridia; Eubacteriales; Clostridiaceae
Source: Rfam
UGACUGCUUAGAUGUGAGAGGUUGCCGAUACGCCAGGUUAAGUUGACAAUGGAAAUCGGGUUAUUCGCACGGAGCAAGUCUAUACUAGAUAUAGGCGA